Molecule: ribosomal RNA, 620 nt
Filed under: uncultured bacterium
Lineage: Bacteria
Description: bacterial SSU rRNA
Rfam family: Bacterial small subunit ribosomal RNA
Source: RNAcentral
GAAAGAUGGUUCUGCUAUCACUCUUGGAUGGACCUGCGGUGCAUUAGCUAGUUGGUAAGGUAACGGCUUACCAAGGCAAUGAUGCAUAGCCGAGUUGAGAGACUGAUCGGCCACAUUGGGACUGAGACACGGCCCAAACUCCUACGGGAGGCAGCAGUAGGGAAUCUUCCACAAUGGACGAAAGUCUGAUGGAGCAACGCCGCGUGAGUGAAGAAGGGUUUCGGCUCGUAAAGCUCUGUUGGUAGUGAAGAAAGAUAGAGGUAGUAACUGGCCUUUAUUGACGGUAAUUACUUAGAAAGUCACGGCUAACUACGUGCCAGCAGCCGCGGUAAUACGUAGGUGGCAAGCGUUGUCCGGAUUUAUUGGGCGUAAAGCGAGUGCAGGCGGUUCAAUAAGUCUGAUGUGAAAGCCUUCGGCUCAACCGGAGAAUUGCAUCAGAAACUGUUGAACUUGAGUGCAGAAGAGGAGAGUGGAACUCCAUGUGUAGCGGUGGAAUGCGUAGAUAUAUGGAAGAACACCAGUGGCGAAGGCGGCUCUCUGGUCUGCAACUGACGCUGAGGCUCGAAAGCAUGGGUAGCGAACAGGAUUAGAUACCCUGGUAGUCCAUGCCGUAAACGAUG